GUGCUCACUGCAGCAGUGCAUGCACUGAAACAGGGAUGACAAGGAGAGGAUCAGCAUGGCCUCUGCACAAAGAUGACCCACAGAUUCAUGAAGCCUUGCAAUAGUUA
Molecule: small nuclear RNA, 107 nt
Organism: Erinaceus europaeus (western European hedgehog)
Lineage: Eukaryota; Metazoa; Chordata; Mammalia; Eulipotyphla; Erinaceidae
Source: Ensembl